GUAGGGAAUCUUCCGCAAUGGACGAAAGUCUGGCGGAGCAACGCCGCGUGAGUGAUGAAGGUUUUCGGAUCGUAAAGCUCUGUUGUUAGGGAAGAACAAGUGCCGUUCAAAUAGGGCGGCACCUUGACGGUACCUAACCAGAAAGCCACGGCUAACUACGU
RNAcentral lists this ribosomal RNA (161 nucleotides) under uncultured bacterium. RNAcentral describes it as "partial 16S ribosomal RNA". It matches the Rfam family "Bacterial small subunit ribosomal RNA", at positions 354 to 506 of the family's 1533-position model. The record is from RNAcentral.